This 414-nucleotide ribosomal RNA is filed under the name uncultured bacterium. RNAcentral describes it as "bacterial SSU rRNA". It matches the Rfam family "Bacterial small subunit ribosomal RNA", at positions 505 to 916 of the family's 1533-position model. The record is from RNAcentral.
GUGUCAGCAGCCGCGGUAAUACGUAGGGUGCAAGCGUUGUCCGGAAUUAUUGGGCGUAAAGAGCUCGUAGGCGGCUUGUCGCGUCUGCUGUGAAAACUGGAGGCUCAACCUCCAGCCUGCAGUGGGUACGGGCAAGCUAGAGUGCGGUAGGGGAGAUUGGAAUUCCUGGUGUAGCGGUGGAAUGCGCAGAUAUCAGGAGGAACACCGAUGGCGAAGGCAGAUCUCUGGGCCGUUACUGACGCUGAGGAGCGAAAGCAUGGGGAGCGAACAGGAUUAGAUACCCUGGUAGUCCAUGCCGUAAACGUUGGGAACUAGAUGUAGGGCCUGUUCCACGGGUUCUGUGUCGUAGCUAACGCAUUAAGUUCCCCGCCUGGGGAGUACGGCCGCAAGGCUAAAACUUAAAGAAAUUGACGG